RNAcentral lists this ribosomal RNA (468 nucleotides) under uncultured bacterium. Its description in RNAcentral is "partial 16S ribosomal RNA". It matches the Rfam family "Bacterial small subunit ribosomal RNA", at positions 28 to 507 of the family's 1533-position model. The record is from RNAcentral.
GACGAACGCUGGCGGCGUGCUUAACACAUGCAAGUCGAACGGAAAGGCCCUGCUUUUGUGGGGUGCUCGAGUGGCGAACGGGUGAGUAACACGUGAGUAACCUGCCCUUGACUUUGGGAUAACUUCAGGAAACUGGGGCUAAUACCGGAUAGGAGCUCCUGCUGCAUGGUGGGGGUUGGAAAGUUUCGGCGGUUGGGGAUGGACUCGCGGCUUAUCAGCUUGUUGGUGGGGUAGUGGCUUACCAAGGCUAUGACGGGUAGCCGGCCUGAGAGGGUGACCGGCCACAUUGGGACUGGGAUACGGCCCAGACUGCUACGGGAGGCAGCAGUGGGGAAUAUUGCACAAUGGGCGGAAGCCUGAUGCAGCAACGCCGCGUGCGGGAUGACGGCCUUCGGGUUGUAAACCGCUUUCGCCUGUGACGAAGCGUGAGUGACGGUAAUGGGUAAAGAAGCACCGGCUAACUACGUG